This 253-nucleotide ribosomal RNA is filed under the name uncultured bacterium. RNAcentral's name for it is "partial 16S ribosomal RNA". It matches the Rfam family "Bacterial small subunit ribosomal RNA", at positions 524 to 776 of the family's 1533-position model. The record is from RNAcentral.
GACGUAGGGAGCGAGCGUUGUCCGGAUUCAUUGGGCGUAAAGAGCGCGUAGGCGGCCGUGCAAGUCGGUUGUGAAAUCCCGGGGCUCAACCCCGGGACUGCGUCCGAUACUGUGCGGCUCGAGGCAGGUAGGGGAGAGUGGAAUUCCCGGUGUAGCGGUGAAAUGCGCAGAUAUCGGGAGGAACACCGGUGGCGAAGGCGGCUCUCUGGACCUGUCCUGACGCUGAGGCGCGAAAGCUAGGGGAGCGAACAGG